This 795-nucleotide unclassified non-coding RNA is filed under the name Bombus terrestris (buff-tailed bumblebee). Its description in RNAcentral is "misc RNA ENSBTSG00005034202.1". The record is from RNAcentral. Lineage: Eukaryota; Metazoa; Arthropoda; Insecta; Hymenoptera; Apidae.
UUAUACAUCUUAAAACGUUAAAAAUCCUUUUUGUUCGCUAAAAUUGUUUCUAACGCAAAAAAUACUUGGAGCUCGAAGAAAAUAUAAAUAAAUUUUUAUUCGAACGAAUUCUUUCACCUUGCAAUCUCGCGUUAUACAUCUUAAAACGUUACAAAUCCUUUUUGUUUGGUAAAAUAAAGUAUCAUGAAUUUUUCAUUCCUUCGCAGGAAACAUGUAUAUAUGUAUCUGGAUCAUAAAAGUAUAAGAAGAUAGAUCGGUUUGAAAUAGAACCCUGAUGAUAAUUCGUCUGAUAAUUCUCAUUGAACCUGCCGAUUAGUAAGAAGUGAAGCGUUGCGUAACUGAUUUAUUUUCCUUUAACAAUCGAUAAGACACAAUGACUGCUCAUUAUCGCGAUAUUUUCUCUUUCUUUCCUUUCCUCGGUCGACGCACGUGAUCUCAAGACAAUCUGGUCAUGGAUCUAAACAGACUUGUCCUGCAGCUGCGCGAUCCCCUUGCAGACCUUGGAUUUCCUUAUCCUGAUUAGACGUUUGAUCUUCCAUAUACGGAGGAUUAUACGUACUUUGUCUAUGUAUCAGGAAGAAUCGUUCUUUCAUCAUUUAAUCGAUGCACGUGUAAAUUACUGCCACGGAUCAUCCAUUUGAUGAAAAAUCUUUCUGUUCGAGGAAAGUUUCAAUCGUGUACCGAGUUACAAUCGUGAAGAUAACAAGGUAUAAUUAUCGAUGUAAUAUUCGAUGAUCAAUAUAAUUUGUAUCAAAAAUUCUUUUUCUGUAAUAUAUUUUUUAUAGUAUAUUUAAC